Callithrix jacchus (white-tufted-ear marmoset) is the source of this 1819-nucleotide long non-coding RNA. RefSeq lists it as uncharacterized. NCBI's taxonomy places the organism in Eukaryota, Metazoa, Chordata, Mammalia, Primates, Cebidae. The record is from RefSeq and is a predicted model, not a curated record.
GCUUGAUGCACAGAGGAGAACCAUUCCAAUGGAGGGUGUGUGUGGGUGACUGGAAUAAAGGACACAAGGGCUUCCUUUUCUGAGAAAAGACGCUGCCUUGUCAGCCAGAGAUGGUGCCUUGGGAGACCAGUUCCUGAGUGGAUGAAGAGAGAGUUUUGUGCAGGACAUUCCUCUGGGAGAUCACUGGGGAGAUGGGGAUCCCUAAGUUGGCCACCCAGGAGAGAAAAUGCCUGAUGAGGUGCAAAGACAGAGGCUGUGGUCCCCUUCCUGGGGACCUUCUUCAGUGACUUGGUAAUGCUGGACACUGCCCCCUGAAGGACUAUGUGGAUAUGAAUGAGCCUGGGAGUGGUGCAGCGGAAACCAGGAUCCUGAGGCUUGGGAGGAGAGGGCCCUGGACUGAGCCCUUAAAUCUCAGGCCUCACUCGGAAAACAACUUCUCCUGAGAGCCUCGCAUCUGGGCCAGUGAAGGGAGACAUCAGCCCCAAGGCGUCUUUGAGUGAUGGAGGCUCCACAGCAGCUGUCAGACCCUGUCCCUGAGUGAUGACACUGAGGGGCUGCCUGACUGCAAAGCUGCAUGAGGUGUGGGCUGAGCUGACCUCAGCCUUCCUUUUGGGUAGCACCCAUGAAAGAUUGAAACUGGGCCCCUCCAAGGGCAGACUGUUCCUGUGUAGCUGAGCACUUGCUUUCUACACAUGGUCCCAGUUUUUCUGUCAUACAACAGGGCUGGGUGAAAGGUCCCAGAGCCUCAGCAUCCAUGACCCCUCGUCUAGAGACCAAAGCCUAGUGCAGGUCCAAGUCCUGUCAUGUGCACAUGCCCUGGCUCCAGUUGCUCUGGCAGUGGUGCAGCAUGGGGUGGGGCUAGACGGGGCUCCUUGUGGGUCAGGAGGUGACUAGCAAUGAGAAAAACAGGAGGGUGAGCAGCUGGGGGUCUCAUGGUGGGAGAGGAUGGAGACGUGGACAUAGAGACCAUCCAUGGAAACAUCCUAGGGACACCCCGGGCUCCAUCCUCUGCAUCUUAGAUUUAUUGGAAGGUUUUGACACUCAGAGGAGAAGGAGACUGGUGUCAAGGACCAAUUCCUGGAGAAGGGGCUAUUUGCCUCCAACUCUGAGAACAGGCUGGGGCUGCAUAGGAUUGCAGGGGAGAAUGACACCCUCAGGAAAACAGCCCCAGAGAUUGGCCCCUGCUCCCUCCAUCCCCAGGACCCCUCCGGCAUCUUCCACUCAUGCCCUAUCAGCGCCUUUUCCUCUCUCUACCUCUAGGAGGACACUGUCCUCUCUGAGACAAUGGUGCCAAGAACACACAAUGGGGAAAGAACAAUUUAUUUAAAUUAUUUCAGAUGGCUGCAGAAAACUAUCACCUUCAGUCUGAGGAGCAAUUUCUGGCCUGGCUCCAUUCAGUGGAGCAGAUCAGUGAGGAGGAAAGGUGAGGGCUUAGCAAAGGGACAGAGGCAGAGGCUCUCUUGUGGCCAGCUGCAGAGAACUUGUCACCAUGGUGCCCUGAUCUGUGUCAUGUCCUGUUGCAAUGGUGACCACUGGGGCUGCAGGAUUCCACCAAGGCAGGAAAUGGGAGGGAACAUGUAGUGUGGCCCCUGAUGGCCUCACAGCUGCCUCUGUGUCCUGACGGUUGCAGCCCCUAACCUAGUAGGCUAACAACAUUCUAAAGGUCAGAAAAAACAGGCCAUUAUAUGGUGAGGCACAGGUAGCAGGGGUAGAGAGCCUCUGGGCACAGUGAAAUUUGGGCUGAGUAUGUGCUCUGGGAGUCAGAUAGCUGCACUGGGCUCCCAGCUUUGCUACUGCCCAGCCCCGGGACUGGGGUAAA